Ictidomys tridecemlineatus (thirteen-lined ground squirrel) is the source of this 558-nucleotide non-coding RNA. The record is from RefSeq and is a predicted model, not a curated record. Lineage: Eukaryota; Metazoa; Chordata; Mammalia; Rodentia; Sciuridae.
UACAUCCAAUAAGCUCUCCAUGUGAAAGCAGAAAUUGAUGAACUCUUCCCUGGCAAGAGAACAAAUUUUACCUGAAUGAGAGUUUGCAGGAAGAGGCAAUAGAAGAGAGGUCUCCUUGCUUGCCUGGCCCCAUCACACGUUGGUGGAGAGAUGUUCCUGGAUUCACUCUGGUUUAUUCUGGACCCAUUUGAAGCUCCCAUUGUGGUGAUUUCACUCUGGCUCCCUCUAUCAUUAAGAUCCAGGAUAAAGGAGGAGACUGAAUAUUAUGCUGUGCCAUCGUAUCUUGUCUAAGUUUCCAGAGUGCUGUGCCAGAACACCACAAUGUUCUCCAGUGCCCUGGAGAAUACAGGGUGGGAACUGGUGUUUACAACUCAACAUAGAGUUGAGGAAGGAAUGUUAGACUCCUAACUGCAGCCAACACACUGUAGGAAUGCUUUUUGUUUUGUUUUAGAAAUUUUCCUUUGACUUUAAGGAGAAUAAAGUCAUCUUUUCCACUCUCAGGAGAAAAGAAGGUCUAGCAUUUUGUCAUAAACACUGAAUUCUUGGGAAAAUAAAAAA